Molecule: long non-coding RNA, 599 nt
Filed under: Pongo abelii (Sumatran orangutan)
Lineage: Eukaryota; Metazoa; Chordata; Mammalia; Primates; Hominidae
Description: lincRNA
Source: RNAcentral
UUAGGCUUGGCCACAAGAGACAAAUUGCAAGGCAUGGAGACAUUUUUCUAACACUUGAAAAGUCUAUGCAAGGGCACCAGGCAGCUCAUGCACCUUGCCACUUAUCUACUGGGUCACCUUGUUGGCAUGGGAUGCCAGCCAGGCUUGAAGCUGCUCCAUCCUCCCCUGAAUUUGUACUUCAGCUUCUCCACUCAUGGCCUGCCCUGAGGACUUCAUGGUUCAGCAUCAGAUAUGAAGAUGACAGCCCUAUAGGGUCUAUUUAACCAGCUUCUAAGGUGGUUAAAUAUCUUACCAGCCUAUGUAAGGUCGAAUCCUACUAACAAAUCACUAGUAUAUGUAAUAUCCCAGUGGUUUGCUUCUCUAAUUGAACCCUGACUACUACAGGUAAGAAUUUUGACAAGAAUAUAUUAAUUCUUCUAGGAGGAAGAAAGGGAAACUCACUUCAGGUCAAUAGAGAUUGUCAUUUGGGACCCCUUCAAGGCAACCAAUUAUAUGACUCUCUCUAAAAUAUUGCUAUCCAGCCCCCAUUCCUCACUAUUGUCCUAGUGGUAAUAAGGCAUUCAUCGUGUAUCUUUCAGAAGUCCAGAUACCGCAGUCUG